Molecule: ribosomal RNA, 377 nt
Filed under: uncultured bacterium
Lineage: Bacteria
Description: bacterial SSU rRNA
Rfam family: Bacterial small subunit ribosomal RNA
Source: RNAcentral
GUAGUCCACGCCCUAAACGAUGUCGACUGGUUGUUGGGGGUUUGACACUCUCAGUAACGAAGCUAACGCGUGAAGUCGACCGCCUGGGGAGUACGGCCGCAAGGUUAAAACUCAAAGGAAUUGACGGGGACCCGCACAAGCGGUGGAUUAUGUGGAUUAAUUCGAUGCAACGCGAAAAACCUUACCUACCCUUGACAUGUCCGAGAGCCCGCAGAGAUGUGGGUGUGCCCGAAAGGGAAUCGGAACACAGGUGCUGCAUGGCUGUCGUCAGCUCGUGUCGUGAGAUGUUGGGUUAAGUCCCGCAACGAGCGCAACCCUUGUCAUUAGUUGCUACAUUCAGUUGGGCACUCUAAUGAGACUGCCGGUGACAAACCGGA